GGCUGUUUUGGAUUCUGUUUUAUCAUUUGAAUUGAAUUUACGAAAUGUCUAAUAUUAGUGAACAAAGCUGAGUUCUAUGGGACUGCAUUGUCAUGUCUCUGAAUCAAUGUGUCUCUGUAUGAAUUAAUCUGUCCAUAUCACUACAGGGUUCAUUCACUAGUAAAUACUAAGUUUUUGUUAAAGGCCUGCCUAUGGAGAGAUUGUAAAGACUACUG
Pelobates cultripes (western spadefoot toad) is the source of this 215-nucleotide non-coding RNA. The record is from the annotation of a GenBank genome assembly. Lineage: Eukaryota; Metazoa; Chordata; Amphibia; Anura; Pelobatidae.